GACGAACGCUGGCGGCGUGCUUAACACAUGCAAGUCGAACGGAAAGGCCCUGCUUUUGUGGGGUGCUCGAGUGGCGAACGGGUGAGUAACACGUGAGUAACCUGCCCUUGACUUUGGGAUAACUUCAGGAAACUGGGGCUAAUACCGGAUAGGAGCUCCUGCUGCAUGGUGGGGGUCGGAAAGUUUCGGCGGUUGGGGAUGGACUCGCGGCUUGUCAGCUUGUUGGUGGGGUAGUGGCUUACCAAGGCUUUGACGGGUAGCCGGCCUGAGAGGGUGACCGGCCACAUUGGGACUGAGAUACGGCCCAGACUCCUACGGGAGGCAGCAGUGGGGAAUAUUGCACAAUGGGCGGAAGCCUGAUGCAGCAACGCCGCGUGCGGGAUGACGGCCUUCGGGUUGUAAACCGCUUUCGCCUGUGACGAAGCGUGAGUGACGGUAAUGGGUAAAGAAGCACCGGCUAACUACGUG
RNAcentral lists this ribosomal RNA (468 nucleotides) under uncultured bacterium. RNAcentral's name for it is "partial 16S ribosomal RNA". It matches the Rfam family "Bacterial small subunit ribosomal RNA", at positions 28 to 507 of the family's 1533-position model. The record is from RNAcentral.